RNAcentral lists this long non-coding RNA (215 nucleotides) under Nicotiana benthamiana. RNAcentral describes it as "long non-coding RNA (NBEN_LNC031313)". The record is from RNAcentral. Lineage: Eukaryota; Viridiplantae; Streptophyta; Magnoliopsida; Solanales; Solanaceae.
GUGCUUGCCUUGAGAGCGAUCUUUUGUUUCCUUUGAUCAUCAACAAGAGGGUUAAGUAUAGUAGACUCAUAAGUUUUAAGAUUACCUCUUAAUCCGUCGAUGGUGACAUUUGAAAUGCAAAUAGACUCUUGAAUCGCGUCGGCCUUGGAGCGCCAUUCCGGAGUGAGACUUCGGAGAAUUUUUCGGACAAGUUCCUUAUCCGUGAAGGUCUUCUU